UCCCCAAGGCGAAGCAUGCGACGGGCGCCU
This 30-nucleotide small RNA is filed under the name Bombyx mori (domestic silkworm). RNAcentral's name for it is "ovarian small RNA-27216". Lineage: Eukaryota; Metazoa; Arthropoda; Insecta; Lepidoptera; Bombycidae. The record is from RNAcentral.